GCAUGGUAAUGGCUUUCUGGUAGGCCUUUCUCCGUCAGCCUGUCAUAGUGUUCCCACACCAGAGUAAACUGCAGCCUCGAACCACUGCUCUGCCUCUUUACCACAGCACUGUGAACAAUGAUGGGGGUUGUACAAUU
Molecule: small nucleolar RNA, 137 nt
Organism: Artibeus jamaicensis (Jamaican fruit-eating bat)
Lineage: Eukaryota; Metazoa; Chordata; Mammalia; Chiroptera; Phyllostomidae
Product: small nucleolar RNA SNORA42/SNORA80 family
Exons: 1
Source: RefSeq, a predicted model, not a curated record